RNAcentral lists this ribosomal RNA (691 nucleotides) under Xanthocarpia cf. 'yerramungupensis' SK247. RNAcentral's name for it is "eukaryotic LSU rRNA". It matches the Rfam family "Eukaryotic large subunit ribosomal RNA", at positions 165 to 872 of the family's 3401-position model. Lineage: Eukaryota; Fungi; Ascomycota; Lecanoromycetes; Teloschistales; Teloschistaceae. The record is from RNAcentral.
CGGGCGACGCGCCGGUCUAAGUCCCCUGGAACGGGGCGUCAUAGAGGGUGAGAAUCCCGUACGCGACCGGUGACUGAGCCUAUGUGAAACUCCUUCGACGAGUCGAGUUGUUUGGGAAUGCAGCUCAAAAUGGGUGGUAAAUUUCAUCUAAAGCUAAAUACCGGCUAGAGACCGAUAGCGCACAAGUAGAGUGAUCGAAAGAUGAAAAGCACUUUGGAAAGAGAGUCAAAAAGUACGUGAAAUUGUUGAAAGGGAAGCGCUUGCAACCAGACCUGCCCGUAGGUGAUCAACCGUCCUUCUGGGCGGUGCACUCGCCCGCGAUCAGGCCAGCAUCGGUUCGGGCGGCCGGAUAAAGGCCUUGGGAACGUAGCUCCUCUCGGGGAGUGUUAUAGCCCUCGGUGCAAUGCGGCCAGCCUGGACCGAGGACCGCGCUUCGGCUAGGAUGCUGGCGUAAUGGUUGUAAGCGGCCCGUCUUGAAACACGGACCAAGGAGUCUAACAUCUAUGCGAGUGUUUGGGUGUCAAACCCAUACGCGUAAUGAAAGUGAACGGAGGUGGGAACCCUUCGCGGGGCGCACCAUCGACCGAUCCAGAUGUCUUCGGAUGGAUUUGAGUACGAGCAUAACUGUUGGGACCCGAAAGAUGGUGAACUAUGCCUGAAUAGGGUGAAGCCAGAGGAAACUCUGGUGGAG